CAGCCGCCGCGGUAAUACGGAGGAUGCAAGCGUUAUCCGGAUUCAUUGGGCGUAAAGGGUCCUGAGGUGGCCUGCUUAGUCUGCUGUGAAAGCUCAGGGCUUAACCCUGACAAUGCGGUGGAAACUAGCAGGCUAGAAUACGGUAGGGGCAGGGGGAAUUCCCGGUGUAGCGGUGAAAUGCAUAGAUAUCGGGAGGAACACCAAAGGCGAAGGCACCCUGCUGGGCCGACAUUGACACUGACAGACGAAAGCUAGGGGAGCAAAGAGGAUUAGAUACCCCAGUAGUCCCUGUCUCUUAUAA
This 301-nucleotide ribosomal RNA is filed under the name uncultured bacterium. Its description in RNAcentral is "partial 16S ribosomal RNA". It matches the Rfam family "Bacterial small subunit ribosomal RNA", at positions 509 to 809 of the family's 1533-position model. The record is from RNAcentral.